CCUACGGGAGGCAGCAGUGGGGAAUUGUUCGCAAUGGGCGCAAGCCUGACGACGCAACGCCGCGUGGAGGAUGAAGAUCUUCGGGUCGUAAACUCCUGUCGAGCGGGACGAACACUUAUCCGGUGAAUACCUGGAUAGGCUGACGGUACCGCUAAAGGAAGCCCCGGCUAACUCCGUGCCAGCAGCCGCGGUAAUACGGGGGGGGCAAGCGUUGUUCGGAAUUACUGGGCGUAAAGGGCUCGUAGGCGGCCAACUAAGUCGGACGUGAAAUCCCCAGGCUCAACCUGGGAACUGCGUCCGAUACUGGAUGGCUUGAAUCCGGGAGAGGGAUGCAGAAUUCCAGGUGUAGCGGUGAAAUGCGUAGAUAUCUGGAGGAAUACCGGUGGCGAAGGCGGCAUCCUGGACCGGCAUUGACGCUGAGGAGCGAAAGCCAGGGGAGC
This 440-nucleotide ribosomal RNA is filed under the name uncultured bacterium. RNAcentral's name for it is "bacterial SSU rRNA". It matches the Rfam family "Bacterial small subunit ribosomal RNA", at positions 338 to 769 of the family's 1533-position model. The record is from RNAcentral.